This 502-nucleotide ribosomal RNA is filed under the name uncultured Actinomycetes bacterium. RNAcentral describes it as "bacterial SSU rRNA". It matches the Rfam family "Bacterial small subunit ribosomal RNA", at positions 8 to 522 of the family's 1533-position model. The record is from RNAcentral. Lineage: Bacteria; Bacillati; Actinomycetota; Actinomycetes.
AGAGUUUGAUCCUGGCUCAGGACGAACGCUGGCGGCGUGCUUAACACAUGCAAGUCGAACGGUGAACCGGGCUUCGGCCCGGGGAUCAGUGGCGAACGGGUGCGUAACACGUGGGCAACCUGCCCCAGACACUGGGAUAACUCCGGGAAACCGGGGCUAAUACCGGAUACUCCGGUCGAACCUCAUGGUUCGAUCGGGAGAGCUCCGACGGUCUGGGAUGGGCCCGCGGCCUAUCAGCUUGUUGGCGAGGUAACGGCUCACCAAGGCGACGACGGGUAGCUGGUCUGAGAGGACGACCAGCCACACUGGAACUGAGAUACGGUCCAGACUCCUACGGGAGGCAGCAGUGGGGAAUCUUGCACAAUGGGCGAAAGCCUGAUGCAGCGACGCCGCGUGGGGGACGAAUGCCUUCGGGUUGUAAACCCCUUUCGGCAGGGAAGAAGCGCAAGUGACGGUACCUGCAGAAGAAGUCCCGGCUAACUACGUGCCAGCAGCCGCGGUA